CAGUAGCCACGGUAAUACGAAGGUCCCGAGCGUUGUUCGGAAUCACUGGGCGUAAAGGGAGCGUAGGCGGCGUGGUAAGUCAGAUGUGAAAUCCCGGGGCUCAACCCCGGAACUGCAUCCGAUACUGCCAUGCUAGAGGAUUGGAGAGGUAGCUGGAAUUCUUGGUGUAGCAGUGAAAUGCGUGGAGAUCAAGAGGAACACUCGUGGCGAAAGCGAGCUACUGGACAAUAACUGACGCUGAGGCUCGAAGGCCAGGGUAGCGAAAGGGAUUAGAUACCCCCGUAGUCCCUGUCUCUUAUAA
This 301-nucleotide ribosomal RNA is filed under the name uncultured bacterium. Its description in RNAcentral is "partial 16S ribosomal RNA". It matches the Rfam family "Bacterial small subunit ribosomal RNA", at positions 509 to 809 of the family's 1533-position model. The record is from RNAcentral.